RNAcentral lists this ribosomal RNA (545 nucleotides) under uncultured eukaryote. RNAcentral's name for it is "partial 18S ribosomal RNA". It matches the Rfam family "Eukaryotic small subunit ribosomal RNA", at positions 548 to 1098 of the family's 1831-position model. The record is from RNAcentral.
UUGGAGGGCAAGUCNGGUGCCAGCACCCGCGGUAAUUCCGGCUCUAGNAGCGUAUAUUAAAGUUGUUGCAGUUAAAAAGCUCGUAGUCUGACUUCGGGCUGGGCUGUGAAGGCUCACCGCAAGGUGGGACGGAUAGCCUGGCCUUACCNUCUGAUGUGCUCUCUGCUCUUAACUGAGUGGAUCUGUCGCACAGGGGCGUUUACCUUGAGCGAAUUGGGGUGUNCAAGGCAGGCAUGAUUGNUCGUACNCGNUAGCAUGNGAUAAUANAAUAGGNCCUUGGGUUCGCUGUUGCCGGUUGGUGAGCCCAGGCAAUGAUCAACAGGGGCGGUCGGGGUGCUUCAUAUNCAGGCGCUAGAGGNGAAAUUCUUGGACCGUCUGCNNANGCCCAGAUGCGAAAGCGNNGCACCAGUACNUCCCCAUUGAUCAAGAACGAAAGUUAAGGGAGCGAAGACGAUCAGAUACCGUCGUAGUCUUAACCCUAAACGAUACCGACCAGGGAUCGAAGAUAGUCCCAUGGUUGACUCCUUCNGCGCCUUACGGGAAAC